Long non-coding RNA from Oncorhynchus kisutch (coho salmon), 1834 nucleotides. RefSeq lists it as uncharacterized. NCBI's taxonomy places the organism in Eukaryota, Metazoa, Chordata, Actinopteri, Salmoniformes, Salmonidae. The transcript has 2 exons. The record is from RefSeq and is a predicted model, not a curated record.
UUCUUCUUUUUUUCCCCCCAUUUUCAGAUGGCUUAAAAUAUGAUGAUGUCAUGUUCAGUGCUCAGUAUCUCUAGAACAACAAGUAUGUAGCAAACAUGGAGCAGGUUUCUACCUACUGUAGCCAGGUGUAUUUUCUGUAGCAUUCGUUUUACGUUCGAGGUGCCCUGGGCUGUGUAACCAGAAUUGAGAUACAGCGAGUGAUGGGUGAAGGAGAUGCAUGAGAGAACUUUUUCCGUUCAUUUAGAAGCCAGCUCCAUAAAAUAGGCACUUAAUGAGGCAUAGCCUUCAGCCUGAUGAUAACGCAUCACUAAGAGUGAUCUCACCCUUUCAACUCUGGGGCAGGUCUGUUAUCGCUGUUUCCAUCCACCUUCCAUCAAUCUUGUCAGGCAUCACGGUUUCUCAUCAGUACUUUGUAUAUUAUAUAUAUAUAUAUGUCAUUGUAUCAUGCAGGUUUCCAUGGAAUCCAUGUUAAACAGCAUUUUAAAGCCUUUUUGAAUAUAUUCUGGACAAGUUGUUAGCUCUGAUCUGUCAGAAGGCCAUGUCCCAAUCUGUCACAACAACAUGUGACAGGAAGUCCCAAAACACUCGAAGGAGUCACCCCCCCCUCUCCCCUCCCAUCUCCAGUCGUUGCUAGCCACUUUGUUCCUAAGUAUUGACAUUGUCAAGAGACCCAAAACACUCGAAGGAGUCCCCCCCCCUCCCAUCUCCAGUCGUUGCUAGCCACUUUGUUCCUAAGUAUUGACAUUGUCAGGAGACCCAAAAGGGAUCGUAUUUGCAGUUACACAUCUCCUCCAGUUCGUUUUGUAACUAUACAAAUGUCACUAACUUAUUCCCGCCCUCCAUGUGUGUUUGUCUGUUUUAUCCUGGAAGACGAAAGCAGGGGGGGAAAAAUGGACGAGAGAACUGCGGCAAUUACAAGCGUGUGCCAAAUGGCUGACAACAAUUUCCACCAAUGAGCUGUUAACGCAUGCGUGUCUGCAUCGGAGAGGUUCGUAGUUCAGCCUCUCUACCACUUUCCUCCCCACUGGCAGAUGUUCUACCUUCCUCAGGGUCAGUGAUCACGACGAGCCAUCCAGCCUCAGAAAACGGUCACAAAUCGUGUCGUCUUUGGGACGCCUCACCUUCAAAACGGACACUGAAAAGAGCACUUUGGAAAGGUACUUCCUGUAGGCCACCACACCUCUUGGCAACUCACCUGGAGUCCAGUGAACGUCCAUCUGGCUCAUGUCGAGGCCUGGAUAACAGUGUCCAGCCAUCAACGACAAGGGAGGGGAGUUUGACCAUUGGGGAGCCACGUUUAUGAGUGUAAUUUAUGGAGUGGUGGCGUUGUGAGACCUUAAUAGUCAUUCCUCUGAUAGGACAGUACUUCCUCUUAGAGAGCAGCAGUUCAGUGUCUGGACACACUCAAUGAGGAAAGCAGAGACAUGACAUCAUCUGUACAGGAAAUGGUGUAGGACCCUGCUCUGUUGUCCUUCUGGGGAGCUUCUUUUGGAAUGGAGGAGGAGUAUUCGGUCAUUCUCUUCAACGUCUCUUUGGGUUGUUUAUCGGUCAGUUGUUGUUGCAACAGACUCAUGCUAACAAGAACGAUGUAAUGUUAUGGUUGAACACAAUCCAAUAGAAGCAGGGAAUAGUCUAUAAUCUCUGUCUUCCGACCAGGACACCCAUCUGUCCUGAUGUGUUUCAACCGAUGUGUAUAAACCUGAGAUUGCUGAUGCUAUGUAUUGGCCAGUGAAAGGUUUUGAAGACACCGGUCGGCCAUAUUGACCCAUCAGAAGGAGCAAUCCUCAAUAGGAAUGAAUGGGAUCUGAAGUAUUUCAAUAAAAUGUCAAAAUGA